GAAGCGGCAAAAGCUCAAAUUUGAAAUCUGCGUAAGCCGAGUUGUAAUUUGAAGAUGGCUACUUUGGUAAUGGCUCUUGUCUAUGUUCCUUGGAACAGGACGUCACAGAGGGUGAGAAUCCCGUGCGAUGAGAUGUCCAUUACCGUGUAAAGUGCUUUCGAAGAGUCGAGUUGUUUGGGAAUGCAGCUCUAAGUGGGUGGUAAAUUCCAUCUAAAGCUAAAUAUUGGCGAGAGACCGAUAGCGAACAAGUACAGUGAUGGAAAGAUGAAAAGAACUUUGAAAAGAGAGUGAAAAAGUACGUGAAAUUGUUGAAAGGGAAGGGCUUGAGAUCAGACUUGGUAUUUUGUAUGGCUUGCUUUCGGGCGGGUCCUCUGCAGUUUACUGGGCCAGCAUCGGUUUGGGUGGCAGGAUAAUAGCAUUGGAAUGUGGCUCUACUUCGGUGGAGUGUUAUAGCCUUUGUUGAUACUGCCUGCCUAGACCGAGGACUGCGUCUUUUGACUAGGAUGCUGGCAUAAUGAUCCUAAGCCGCCCGUCUUGA
Molecule: ribosomal RNA, 538 nt
Filed under: Fermentozyma sake
Lineage: Eukaryota; Fungi; Ascomycota; Pichiomycetes; Serinales; Debaryomycetaceae
Description: eukaryotic LSU rRNA
Rfam family: Eukaryotic large subunit ribosomal RNA
Source: RNAcentral